GACGAACGCUGGCGGCGUGCUUAACACAUGUAAGUCGAACGGAAAGGCCCUGCUUUUGUGGGGCGCUCGAGUGGCGAACGGGUGAGUAACACGUGAGUAACCUGCCCUUGACUUUGGGAUAACUUCAGGAAACUGGGGCUAAUACCGGAUAGGAGCUCCUGCUGCAUGGUGGGGGUUGGAAAGUUUCGGCGGUUGGGGAUGGACUCGCGGCUUAUCAGCUUGUUGGUGGGGUAGUGGCUUACCAAGGCUUUGACGGGUAGCCGGCCUGAGAGGGUGACCGGCCACAUUGGGACUGAGAUACGGCCCAGACUCCUACGGGAGGCAGCAGUGGGGAAUAUUGCACAAUGGGCGGAAGCCUGAUGCAGCAACGCCGCGUGCGGGAUGACGGCCUUCGGGUUGUAAACCGCUUUCGCCUGUGACGAAGCGUGAGUGACGGUAAUGGGUAAAGAAGCACCGGCUAACUACGUG
Molecule: ribosomal RNA, 468 nt
Filed under: uncultured bacterium
Lineage: Bacteria
Description: partial 16S ribosomal RNA
Rfam family: Bacterial small subunit ribosomal RNA
Source: RNAcentral